RNAcentral lists this ribosomal RNA (332 nucleotides) under uncultured bacterium. RNAcentral describes it as "bacterial SSU rRNA". It matches the Rfam family "Bacterial small subunit ribosomal RNA", at positions 568 to 898 of the family's 1533-position model. The record is from RNAcentral.
GGUGUAGGCGGCCUUUCAAGUCGGAUGUUAAAUCUCCUGGCCUAACUAGGAGGGUGCAUCCGAUACUGUUGGGCUAGAGUGCAGUAGAGGGAAGCGGAAUUCCCGGUGUAGUGGUGAAAUGCGUAGAUAUCGGGAGGAACACCAGUGGCGAAGGCGGCUUCCUGGGCUGCUACUGACGCUGAGGCCCGAAGGCGUGGGGAGCAAACAGGAUUAGAUACCCUGGUAGUCCACGCAGUAAACGAUGGAUACUAGGUAUGGGGAGUAUCGACCCUCCCUGUGCCGAAGCUAACGCUUUAAGUAUCCCGCCUGGGGACUACGGUCGCAAGACUAAA